Molecule: ribosomal RNA, 491 nt
Filed under: uncultured bacterium
Lineage: Bacteria
Description: partial 16S ribosomal RNA
Rfam family: Bacterial small subunit ribosomal RNA
Source: RNAcentral
GAUUGAACGCUGGCGGCAGGCCUAACACAUGCAAGUCGAACGGUAACAGGAAACAGCUUGCUGUUUCGCUGACGAGUGGCGGACGGGUGAGUAAUGUCUGGGAAACUGCCUGAUGGAGGGGGAUAACUACUGGAAACGGUAGCUAAUACCGCAUAACGUCGCAAGACCAAAGAGGGGGACCUUCGGGCCUCUUGCCAUCGGAUGUGCCCAGAUGGGAUUAGCUAGUAGGUGGGGUAACGGCUCACCUAGGCGACGAUCCCUAGCUGGUCUGAGAGGAUGACCAGCCACACUGGAACUGAGACACGGUCCAGACUCCUACGGGAGGCAGCAGUGGGGAAUAUUGCACAAUGGGCGCAAGCCUGAUGCAGCCAUGCCGCGUGUAUGAAGAAGGCCUUCGGGUUGUAAAGUACUUUCAGCGGGGAUGAAGGGAGUAAAGUUAAUACCUUUGCUCAUUGACGUUACCCGCAGAAGAAGCACCGGCUAACUCCGUG